GAUGAACGCUGGCGGCGUGCCUAAUACAUGCAAGUCGAGCGAACGGACGAGAAGCUUGCUUCUCUGAUGUUAGCGGCGGACGGGUGAGUAACACGUGGAUAACCUACCUAUGAGACUGGGAUAACUUCGGGAAACCGGGGCUAAUACCGGAUAAUAUUUUGAACCGCAUGGUUCAAAAGUGAAAGACGGUCUUGCUGUCACUUAUAGAUGGAUCCACGCUGCAUUAGCUAGUUGGUAAGGUAACGGCUUACCAAGGCAACGAUGCAUAGCCGACCUGAGAGGGUGAUCGGCCACACUGGAACUGAGACACGGUCCAGACUCCUACGGGAGGCAGCAGUAGGGAAUCUUCCGCAAUGGGCGAAAGCCUGACGGAGCAACGCCGCGUGAGUGAUGAAGGUCUUCGGAUCGUAAAACUCUGUUAUUAGGGAAGAACAUAUGUGUAAGUAACUGUGCACAUCUUGACGGUACCAAAUCAGAAAGCCACGGCUAACUACGUG
RNAcentral lists this ribosomal RNA (497 nucleotides) under uncultured bacterium. Its description in RNAcentral is "partial 16S ribosomal RNA". It matches the Rfam family "Bacterial small subunit ribosomal RNA", at positions 28 to 507 of the family's 1533-position model. The record is from RNAcentral.